Long non-coding RNA from Mastomys coucha (southern multimammate mouse), 3723 nucleotides. RefSeq lists it as uncharacterized. The record is from RefSeq and is a predicted model, not a curated record. Lineage: Eukaryota; Metazoa; Chordata; Mammalia; Rodentia; Muridae. The transcript is spliced from 2 exons.
AGCAUUGAGAAGCUACAAUAAAGAAACUUUUUUUCACUUUUGUCCCAUAAACUUUAUCUCUUGAAAUAUCAGUUACAGAAAAGCUAAACCAUUUGAGAAAAGGUGUCUUGAUCUUAGGUAACAUAAAAGACUGUUUUGUUUAAUGUAGUGUCGACAUGCUUGGUAGUGUUCUGGGACAGUAAGAAGUGUAAGAAGUCUUGAAUUCUGGCAAACCAGGGUCCAAAAAUCUGUGCUUUCUACUCUGGGGCUAGCUGAGCAGGAGCUUCAGUGUGCCAUCUGGGACCUCCGUCCUAAGAGCAUCUUACAUCUCAGGGUUAAAGGAGGGAAGGAUCAGACUCCCUAGAGUUCCCCUUCAUCUUCUUUGAGUCCUCAGGGCUGUUUUUGUUUCUGUAUACCCCCAAGGACCCUGACAGACAGGUCACAAUACAAUCCUUCUAUCUGAGAAAGACUUCCUUUCAGGAUCCACCCUCCACCAGGCUACCAGGUAAGUUACUCUACUCACCAAGUGGCUCCAUUUCCAGCAUCUCCCUUUAUAGAUUCCUGUCUCAAUAAUGUGCAUCUUAUACAAAAUGUAUUCCAUAGACUGUGGGAGACAGUUGAGCAACCCAUUUCUCUAAAAUCAGUCCUACAGGUUAUUUUAGAACUACGUCUGAUUCUCUCGCUCUGGGCUCUUCCAGCUUCUGCCCCAGGGUAACCAUUCACUUUCUUGUUGAUUCAGUGUUGAUAACUAAAACACAGCAAAACAGACAGGGUCGGUGUGGGGGUUCAGUCUGAGGUGUAUGCUUGAGUUUCUUUCUUUGGAAGCAACCUUUGCGUUACAUUCUUGCAAUCUAAUCGCUGCGGGUUAUUUGCCUCCUUUAUGCACCUAGGCUCAAGACUACUUAGCUCAGAGUUCAGGAAGUAAUAACAAAAGGAAUCAGAAUAGCUCUCAGGCAGUGGCUCAGAAGAAUCUCCCAGUCCGCCUUGCCUCUCCCUCCUCCUGGGUGUGUCUGCCUGGGAAGGCCAGUGAGUAACCUGCACUCCGCCCCCACCCCCCUUCGGCUUGGCCCUUCCCACCCAGACAAGAGGACUGAGUGAGUGGCAGACAGGCAGGCAGACUGCCGGGAGUCCGGUUGAAGCAUGCACCGAGCACACCUCCACCCGCACCCACCACCAGGACCCCUCACCGCCACCUCUUUGAACCAGGAGGAUCCAGAGCCCGGGUUGGGGUUCCCAGGGGGACUCUGCUCGCCGUGCCUCAACUAAUACCUGGGAGAAGAAAAUAAAAGAACAAUGUGUGAAAGGCAAGAUAAAGGGGCCGGCCAAGUUAACUCAAUCACACCAGCACCGCGUUAUUUGAGACACGCUAUGCUGUCAACAGCCCUGAGGAAUUAUCUCAUGAUUGCAUUAGAGUGGGAAGAUGCGCGGAGCUGAGAGGCAAGCAGAACAGAAUACUACGACCGAAAUUGCCCUAAGCUGAGGCGCCCUGCGUGAGCCCUGUGGAUGCCUGGCACAUGCCCAGGUGCCUCUCCAGUGCAUCAUUCUUUGGCAUCUUGGUUCAGGCUGCACUGGGAUUCUGUACUAAGAAGUCGCCUCUACCGGACAUACCUGGGUUUUUGAGCACCAAUGAACAGAUAAAAGCAAAACAAGCAAACCAAUGAGGCUAGGAGAGCACUUGAGCCUAUGAUUGGUUUGUGAGAGCGGAGGGGGAGGGGAGCUGGGUGAAAAGCGUCCUUACGCUCCUCCCCCGGUCCGCAGGAAGUCCCGUGUGCCUUCUGCUGAAGAGUCGGUAGCCUGUCUUCAUUGUCAUUAGGUGUUCCUGGGGUGAUAAUGCCAGAUGUUUGCUCCCUCAUCCGUAUGGCUUCCCCUCUACUAAUUAAAAGCUGAGAGUGACUGACUGCCUCCCAGUCAGCCAGCUCUUUGCCUUCUGAUCCAUGGAUGGUAUUUGUUUUGACGCCAAGUGGUUGACAAACGGAAGUGAGAAACCCUGUGGCGGAGUGGUUUUACCUGGAAAUUACAAGUUUAAAUCCGUGACUGUCCAAUUAUGACAGAGAGCAAAUGGACGAGUUCCGAGCCAACCCAGACGAUGUUUGGCAGGGAGAGCCGUUCUGGCUCUGUAAGCAUUAACACACUGAGUACUUCACAUUAUGGUAAAAUUAGAUCACUCUCCCUGUCAAACCUGUCUCUCUCCUAGAUCCGGAACUCUGGGGCAGAAUCCGUGUUAGAAGAGGGUAGUCUGCUCUUCCCCUCGGUGAUCUCAUGAACCAGGCUUUUGUAUUGAAACAAAUUGGAUGCAAUGCUUGCUUAAUUUGGCUUUCCUGAGGCUUCUUCAUGGUGAUUUUCCCAUCUCUUAUUAUCCUCUUGUGUUUUGCACUCUCUGUCCUUGGUAUUAUAAACAUUUGAACCUACCCAGCAGGUUGAAAAGUAGAUUUACGCAUGACUUUAGUCCCGACAGAGGUAGGUGGAUCUCUGAGUUCGAGGCCAGCCUGGUCUACAGAGUGAAUUCCAGGACAGCCAAGGACACAGAGAAAACCUGUCUCGCAAAACCAAAAAAAGAAAAAAAAGAAAGAAAGAAAGAAAGGGAAAACUAGACUUACGUUAAUAAGUCAGAGUCGGGCAAUUCAUUCAAGGCAGCUUUGUUUUUGAGAAAGUUAUGCGUUCCCACUUGAAGAAUUCCCUCCAAGGAGCCUUCCGGCAUUUCCUAGUAGAGCUGUCUCUUCUAUUAUGCUGGGUUUUUGGAAUUCUUCUCUUCUUCCACCCCAUGCUGUCCAGACCUCACAAGUAGGUAUUUAAAGCAUUCCAGUGGCAAGGGUGAAUGGCAGUCUCCACAAGGUCAUGGUGAUUAUUCUAAAGCAAAACAAAGCAGAAGCCGCUCCUUAGUCUGUGGGGAUGCUAUAUAAUAACUGCCGGCUGCAUACACGUCAGAAUGUAGGUCAGGGAAACCAGUUUGCAGAUGCAGUCCAGGUAGCUUUCGCCUGUUUCCUAAGUGGUGACAGUGGGGCAAAGGUGAAUGAAGCAGAGAGAUGGUGUGAAGAAGCCAGUGAUGAAGUCAGCUAGUGGAGCCAGCAGCCCUCCGCUAAAGUAAAAGUAAUUAUCAGAUCCUCAGGUCAGGCAUAUCUUCAAGUCCAACCAGAUGACUCUUCUUUGGUGCCAAACUGAGGUUGUAAAGCUUUUAAGGUGUGUGCAUGCAUAUGCAAAGCAGGGCAGAAGUGAAAAGAGGGAUGUAGCUUUGGGGGGGGUGGUCUGGGGGAGGGGUUAGGUUUUCAAGACUAGGUUUCUCUGUGGUCCUGGCUGUCUCAGAACUCACUCUUUAGACCAGGCUGGCCUCGAACUCUCAGAGAUCGGUCUGCCUCUGCCUCCUUAGUGCUGGGAUUAAAGGUAUGCACCAUAACUACCUAGCAAAAAGAAUAUUUGAUGCAUAUGACUGCUUUGCCUGAACCAAUGUAUAACACAUGCAUGCAGUGGCUUCAGAGGACAAAAGGUGUUGGAUCCCCUGGAACUAGAGCUGCAAACAGUUAUGAGCUCCAAGUGGGCGCUGGGAACUGAGCCUGGAUCUUCCAUAGGAGCAACAAGUGCUCUUAACCACUGAGCCAGUUCCAGCUCCAGGAUGAAGCUUUAAUGUACAAACCUUGUAUCUUUUCUAGAGGAAAGUCAAAAUGGUGGCCCUUGCUUGGGAAGCCCACAUGGCCGGGUGUGACAUUUUCCCCCCAUUCUGUGUAAUAACUUGAUUGCGAUUAAAAAAAA